AAAUGAACUGUAAAUAAGUUUAAAAGUUGUAUUUUAUUAUUUUCUAGUUUAUAUUGUUACACAUGUAUUAAGGUAUUAAUACAUGUAUUACAUAUCAUAAUUGUUAAAAUUAUAUAAAUAUUUUAUAUUUGGGUUGGAUUGAGCUUACCACACCUCAAGUUUUCUUGACGUAACCCUGCCUAGGUCAUGCAACAGGCUCAAAUUUUUGGGCUGGAAAAACCAGACUUUGAGGUAGUUUAAUUCGUAAUGUGAAACGAAAUGAAAUCUGUGUACGAAAUGAAAUAUGUGAGUGUGUGUGUGUGUGUGUAUGGUGCAGUACCUCAUGAGUUUGGAG
RNAcentral lists this unclassified non-coding RNA (334 nucleotides) under Hevea brasiliensis (rubber tree). The record is from RNAcentral. Lineage: Eukaryota; Viridiplantae; Streptophyta; Magnoliopsida; Malpighiales; Euphorbiaceae.